AAAAGAAAAGAAAGGAAGUGAGACGGAAGGAGGGUCGAGAAGGACAAAGAGAGUGGGAGGGAGGGAGGAAGGAAGGGAAUCUUAUGUUCUAGAUUUUUAUCUACCAGGAGAUUCCAAGAUGGCAGAAUAGGGAAUGGUAUACUGCACUAGGCUAGGGAUAAAUAGAGGGAAAAAGAGUACAAGAAGUGCACUCUUCAGGGAGAAUGAGAGAGAAAACUAUACUGGAAAGUCUACAAAAGGAAAAGGAAGACCAUGGGCCUUUGUGGAAGGUGCAGAUGUGAAGAACAAACACGGACAUAAAACACAACUGCAGCAGCCAAGUGCAGGGAUUGGAUGGCAGCUUGGAGGUGGAGGUCUUGGAGGAACAUGGAACAGAAGAGGAAGAAAGUAAAGCACCCACAGACCAAGACAGCAAUAUUCUGAUGCAUACACUUCAAUAUACAUUGAAAAACAUCAAUAAAUCCAUGAAGCACAUAAGCUGAACA
Molecule: long non-coding RNA, 485 nt
Filed under: Oryctolagus cuniculus (rabbit)
Lineage: Eukaryota; Metazoa; Chordata; Mammalia; Lagomorpha; Leporidae
Description: lncRNA (ENSOCUG00000039456.1)
Source: RNAcentral